UACAGAGGUCUCAAGCGUUGUUCGGAUUCACUGGGCGUAAAGGGUGCGUAGGCGGGUCUUUAAGUCAGGGGUGAAAUCCUGGAGCUCAACUCCAGAACUGCCUUUGAUACUGAAGAUCUUGAGUUCGGGAAAGGUGAGUGGAACUGCGAGUGUAGAGGUGAAAUUCGUAGAUAUUCGCAAGAACACCAGUGGCGAAGGCGGCUCACUGGCCCGAUACUGACGCUGAGGCACGAAAGCGUGGGGAGCAAACAGG
This 253-nucleotide ribosomal RNA is filed under the name uncultured bacterium. RNAcentral describes it as "partial 16S ribosomal RNA". It matches the Rfam family "Bacterial small subunit ribosomal RNA", at positions 524 to 776 of the family's 1533-position model. The record is from RNAcentral.